Molecule: ribosomal RNA, 430 nt
Filed under: Pseudomonadota bacterium
Lineage: Bacteria; Pseudomonadati; Pseudomonadota
Description: Proteobacteria bacterium partial 16S ribosomal RNA
Rfam family: Bacterial small subunit ribosomal RNA
Source: RNAcentral
UGGGGAAUAUUGGACAAUGGGCGAAAGCCUGAUCCAGCCAUGCCGCGUGUGUGAAGAAGGUCUUCGGAUUGUAAAGCACUUUAAGUUGGGAGGAAGGGCAGUAAGCGAAUACCUUGCUGUUUUGACGUUACCGACAGAAUAAGCACCGGCUAACUCUGUGCCAGCAGCCGCGGUAAUACAGAGGGUGCAAGCGUUAAUCGGAAUUACUGGGCGUAAAGCGCGCGUAGGUGGUUCGUUAAGUUGAAUGUGAAAGCCCCGGGCUCAACCUGGGAACUGCAUCCAAAACUGGCGAGCUAGAGUAGGGCAGAGGGUGGUGGAAUUUCCUGUGUAGCGGUGAAAUGCGUAGAUAUAGGAAGGAACACCAGUGGCGAAGGCGACCACCUGGGCUCAUACUGACACUGAGGUGCGAAAGCGUGGGGAGCAAACAGGA